This 699-nucleotide long non-coding RNA is filed under the name Zea mays. RNAcentral describes it as "long non-coding RNA (ZMAY_LNC004201)". Lineage: Eukaryota; Viridiplantae; Streptophyta; Magnoliopsida; Poales; Poaceae. The record is from RNAcentral.
GUUACUGUUCCUGAAUGGGUUACAUAAAACAACGGUGGGAGCUCUUGGACACCGUUGGGAAACCCUAACCUUAACUCAGGGUUGGGUGUUGUAUUAAUAGAUCAAGUUAGUUGGGUCUGUCCCAUUACGCAGGGGUGAGACUGUAAGUAUAAGGGGUUAACCCCAAAACCCUAACGGGUACUCUUACAGACACAUUUAUAAAGAUCAUUGCAUCACCCAGAACUAAUUCCCCUUUGCCUUUCUAUUUCAAUUAUCCACACAGGCCCCAGUUUUACAGCAGUUUCAUGCAUGGAGGACAUACACCAAUCAGCUCCUAGUUGCAUUGAUGACAUCCUUGCACUGCAACCCUAUGAAUGAAAAGACACAUCAGGUCAAUAGGGGAGGUCUGAAGAUCAGUUUUUGGAAUUCUCUGUGGCAGUCCAUAUCUAGUUGAAAUGCAACAGCCUAGUAUUGAAAACUUGAAAAAGAAUUCUGAUUGGGAAUACCUGAUUAAGCAGAUCAAUGAUUACCGUCUAGGAUUCUAUGCACCAUAGGAACAGGAAGCUUCAAGAACUAAAAUGUCACCUUCCGCAAUGCACGUAUAUGAGAUUUCCUUUUUAGCUGGUAUGUGCUUCACCGGAUUCUGAUCAAUACCAAAAGAACUUUUAAUUCUGACUCUUCUUUUUCCGGUUCAGAAAAUUAAGGCUAUGGGCUAUGGGU